AAGUCGUAACAAGGUUUUCGUAGGUGAACCUGCGGAAGGAUCAUUAGUGAAACAUAAGAGUGCUCUUCAUUGAGGCUCGUUUUAACUAUCCAAACCACUUUGUGCAUUUGAAACAACACAUAACCAUAUUCUCUCUGUUGACGUUUUGAUUGAGAUUUCAAUGGCUUCGGUCACUCUUUCGGAAUUGAAUGGUUUGAAUUGGUUAUAACACAUAACCCCAUUGCUUUAAAUAAGAGAUGAUGAUGUAAUAUAACCAUGAAAUUGAAAGUACAACUUUCAGCAACGGAUUUCUUGGCUCUC
This 300-nucleotide unclassified non-coding RNA is filed under the name Kondoa sp. (in: rust fungi & allies). RNAcentral's name for it is "Kondoa sp. partial internal transcribed spacer region". The stretch from base 1 to 46 matches the Rfam family "Eukaryotic small subunit ribosomal RNA", at positions 1786 to 1831 of the family's 1831-position model. Lineage: Eukaryota; Fungi; Basidiomycota; Agaricostilbomycetes; Agaricostilbales; Kondoaceae. The record is from RNAcentral.